RNAcentral lists this long non-coding RNA (6838 nucleotides) under Brassica napus (rape). RNAcentral describes it as "long non-coding RNA (BNAP_LNC022671)". The record is from RNAcentral. Lineage: Eukaryota; Viridiplantae; Streptophyta; Magnoliopsida; Brassicales; Brassicaceae.
UCUCAAUCUGAGAUCACUGCGGUCCAGCAGCAGGCGAACCAGUUUCCAACUCUUGGGGACAUGCUACGUGCAACUAAUGAAGGAUCCACGUCACGUGGCUGGAGACCAGGGUUUGCAUCAUCACCUGCAUUGCAAGCUUUAUCAAGCAAAGAAACAAGCUCCUUCUUAGCUCAUGCUCCUAAGAAGAUAAUCAUUCCUUCUGCUCCUCAUGUUCUGGACCUCUCAUCUAGCUCGGCAACAACAACAACAACAACAACAACAACAACACCAAUAAGUUCCGGUACAUGUACUUCCGUUUUAUCUCAGCAGCUGAAGCCACAUCAUAAGAGUUCUUCUAGUUCCAAGCUAUGUCAAGUUGAAGGAUGUCAAAAGGGGGCAAGAGGCGCGUCUGGCCGUUGCAUAUCCCACGGUGGUGGACGUAGAUGCCAGAGACAUGGUUGCCACAAGGGAGCUGAAGGCCGAACUGUCUACUGUAAAGCCCACGGAGGUGGCCGAAGAUGCGAGUUUCUCGGAUGCACCAAAAGCGCUGAAGGCCGUACUGACUUCUGUAUAGCCCAUGGAGGUGGGCGAAGAUGCAGCCAUGAAGAUUGCACACGAGCUGCCAGAGGAAGGUCAGGGCUCUGUAUCAGGCACGGUGGAGGAAAGAGAUGCCAAAGAGAGAACUGCACAAAGAGCGCUGAAGGGCUUUCGGGACUCUGCAUCUCUCACGGAGGUGGUCGUCGAUGCCAGUCUAGUGGAUGCACGAAAGGAGCGCAAGGGAGCACUAUGUUCUGCAAAGCACACGGUGGUGGUAAACGGUGCACGCACCCUGGUUGCUCCAAAGGCGCGGAGGGAAGCACGCCGUUCUGUAAAGGACAUGGAGGAGGUAAAAGAUGCGCGUUUCAAGAGGGUCAUCCUUGCUCCAAGAGUGUUCAUGGAGGUACUAAUUUCUGCGUGGCUCACGGCGGUGGUAAGAGAUGUGCGGUUCCUGAAUGCACUAAGAGCGCUAGAGGAAGGACUGAUUUCUGCGUCAGGCACGGUGGAGGGAAGAGGUGCAAGUCUGAAGGAUGUGGGAAAAGCGCACAGGGUAGUACUGAUUUUUGCAAGGCGCAUGGAGGAGGGAAGCGUUGUGCUUGGGGUCAUCCUGAGACUGAGUAUGCGGGUCAAUCUUCUUCUGGUCCUUGUACCUCGUUUGCUAGAGGUAAGACUGGUCUUUGUGCACUCCAUACCAGUUUGGUUGAGGAUAACCGGGUUCACGGAGGAAUGACUGUGACUUCAGAGAGCCAAGAACCGAGAAUAAGCAGCAGCGAGGAAGAGUUUAGUGGUUCUCAAGACAUGAACAUGGAUAGGAUGAAAGCGAGAAGCGCUGUUGGAUCUCCAGAGACUGAUAUUGAUCUCAACGAGAAUGAAACAGGACCGGGGUUGGCUCCAGAAGGAAGAGUCCAUGGUGGAAGUUUGAUAAUGGCGAUGUUGGCUGCUAGAGAGGGUGGCUCUGGCUCAAGCAACCUGCCUAAAAGGUGGGUGUAAACAAAUAGGCUUCUAUGUUCAUUGAUCUCAAUCCUUCCACAUCAUUUGGUAUCGAUUCCUCCCCUCCCCCAGAAAGAGUCAAAAUAACAUCUUUUACUGUUUUGAUUCUUUCCUGUGUCCGAUUUAAUCUGUCAACAACGUGAUAAUAUUCCUAAACAAAUAAGCUAAACGCCAACAAAUCUUUCAGAAAAAGUAUAUGAAAAGAGUGUUCGACGUUAGGUUUUGAAGUUUAUAGUUCUGUUUGAAGACUUUGGAUUUAGAAUUUAGAUUUUAGAAUAUAUUUUAGUAGUUUUAUAUAGAACCUUUACUACUAUCAUAACUCUUACAAUUUUUUUUUUUUUGCCUUUGAUAAACAAACUUUCUAAAACUGCUUUUUGGAGUUGCUCAAAAAUUUAAUUCUUUAUUUAUUGAAGUGUUUUGAGUGAGAGAGAAUUCUUAACAGGAAGGUAAGCUAAAUGUUUGUUUUGUUCAAAACAGGCAAUAGCUUAUGUCGGAGGAGUUUUGUUUCUCGUGUUUGCUGCUGUGACAGUGUCUGAGAUCAUUACGUAAGUGACGAAAUUAAUAACGAUAUUUCUUUUCCUCUUAUUUGUUUGUGAAUUUAAAAUACAAUUUCAUGUUAUUUGUAAAUUUUUAUCAUUGUUUACUGUCCACUCUUUUUCUGCUAACUAUACUGUGGAUUCACAGUUUUCAUGUGUACUAUCAAGCAUCGAUGCAUUUGUUUUAGUGGUUAGAGUUGCUUAGAGGUCAACAACAUAGGUAAUAAUCUUAUUAUGUUUUUGAAAGAUACGUCCAAACAUAACACGUGUUCGGGACAGUAAAGAAUAUAAAGGAGUCGAACAUGGUAGAGCAUAUUCUUUUUAUUAUUCUUCGUGUAAAGGUAUAUUUAAAAAUUAUAAUCGUGGAUCUGAAAUAAAGUAUAUGAAAAGUUACAAAUUUACACGCUUUAUAAGUUCCACUCCCAAAUAAGUUUCUUUUCUUGUAGCUUGUAGUUUUUAUUAAAUAAAAAGAAAAGAUUAGAAGAAAAACUGUAGAAAGAGCACGUACAGAAAGAAAUAACUUUUCCCACCUAUAUUCAAAAUCACAAAUAAAAUGCAAGUUGUCUAUUUUAAAACUACAUAUUUAUAUAAAAUUAUCAAAAUUUGAUAUUUAAUAUUGAGAAAACUAAAAAGUUGCAGCUACCGGUAUCAAUAGUAAAAUAUAUCUAACAUGUUAUGUAAUCCGUACGUUUCAAAAUAAUGUAUAUUCUAAAAUUUUCACACUUAUUAAAAAAUACAUAAUUAUUUUUUUUGGUAAAAUAUUAAAUACUAUACUAAUUUUAAGUUUUUGAAAGACUUUACAGAUAAACUGGUAGCGGAAAUUAAAUACAGUGACAAAACAACAAACAAUAACAAUGGAACGAACCAAGAGCAACACAACACAAGCGGUUAAACAAAAUAAAAGCGAAACGGACUUAGACCUUACAAUGCGAGAACUAGAUGAGAAACCGAUUAGUUGCCGCGAGCUACCAAAAGAAGGGCGCUCUCAAACCAUGAUUGCUAUGGUUCCUACAGCUUCCAACCGAAACCCAAAGUGCACUCGAGCAAAGAAUCCGAACACGAGUCUAAAGCCAGCGGGGAAGGUACGAGGAGAAGCCGAGAACCGACGAUGCCGUCGUUCAGCGGUUUGUACCGGAGAUUACCGCCUCCAUUACAUUUCAUCGGGACCGUAUACACCCAUCUAAUCGCUACUAUUAAGAGAAGACGGAUCGGUAGACGGACAAUCCUCUGGAGGAGACAAAACCAACACCAUACUCUACACUCGCUGUCCAACUUACACACCAAACAACCCACUCAUAUCGAACAAGCUCAGUAGACACGAACACAACGCUGAUGAUGUUAUUUGAGAAGAGAACGUGACACAGCAUGCCCCAACCACCAUCCACCACUUAGAUUAAAUGGGCACUGAGUUUAAAUCUGGAGCUUAGCGGAUCAGAGAAACUAAAUUAUCAAUGCGCUGCUACCAGGGAAACACAGAGAGACGAACCGACGCCUCCGCCACCGUAGAAGCCCCACGCGCUGCCACCACCUGAAGACAAGACGACAACACCUAGACUCUAGCAGAGAGACACUGAGCUUACCGGAAUCCGGUGAAAUUUUGACAAUAAAUAUAUUAAUUUUCAUGUUAAUUUAUUUUUUAUAAUUUUUAACCAAUCAAAGUUUAGUAAAUACAAUUAAUAUCUUUGAAACCAAAGUUUAAUAAAUUUACAAUUAGUAAAAUAUGGUUUUUUCGACUUUUUUUUUCUAAAACAUGAGUGAUUCUAAAACGGAAGAAAUAUUUUAUUGCUGUUGAUAAAACUCUAACAUGAUUUAAUUGAAAAGAGUAAAUAACAAAAAAAUUGUUGAAUUUGAGAAUCAAAACAUCUGACCUCAAAAGAGUAAAUCCAUAUUUACAAAAAAAGGUAACAAAAUCUAAGGUGUCUGCAUGUGCAACCUGAACCACUCUUUGAUCGUACGUGGGCCUUCUUCUUUGGUUUCUUAAUACGGACAAUGUGAAUGAUAGCAAAGGGAAGAAACGAUGUCGCUUUAUAUAUUGUUCUCAGAAUAAAAAUAAAAUAAAAACCGUGAAAAUUAGGCUAUCGAUCGUAGACAUUCCCGAGGGAAUCAUAAGGGGCCCACACAAAGAGGCAAGUAGGGCCCAGACUCAUAAUCACAGAACCAAAUUGAACGGUGACGAGCCGCUGCUGCUUCAGCCGCCACGCACUGCGUUAUGCUGACGCUGGCAACCGCCGAUUGUUGAUUCGGUCAUACGCUAAUUACUUAAAUUCAUUCAUUACCAAUCUUUUUUAAUUCUUGCAAGAAGCCCCAUCUAUUAUUUAUUACAGUGUUCAACUUAAACCUUGAAAAAAUUUGUUCUCAAAAUAGUACUUCGUUUUAUUAAAAUGUGUAUGGAAUAAUUCAAAAAUAUCUUGUAUAUUUUACACAUUUUAAUAAAUUUGUUGCAAGACCAAAUAUAAAUUUGCUGGAAAAAUGUUUUCAUAUUUAAAACAUUUUACCGAGAAAAAAACAUUUUUAUUAGUUGACCUUCUAUUUAACUGCAAUUGAUACAGUAGUAAGAAAAAAAUCUUGCAUACAAAUUAAGACAUCUGAAUGUAAGAGAGGUAAUAAAAUUUGCAAAAACGCAGAGAAAAACAACUUGACUGAAAAGAAAAAAAAAGGAAAUGAGGAAAAAUGGGAUGAAAGUGGAGGACACAACCAAAUCAUGUUUUGACAGGUAAUUAAGUAUCUUUUUAGCUGUGCUUACAAACAAAUAAUUAAUUUAAUUAUUGAAGUAUUUUGCUCUGAUAAUGAAAAUAAUAAUAAUCCAACACAAAAAAUGAAGGAAGAAGACGAGAAAAGGGAAAUGGCACGUGCCAAAGAUUCGGAAGGCACGUGUGGGGGAAAACAAGUCUUGUAAGCCCUGUUUUAUUUCCUCCUCUUAUUUUGAGAUUCGAUGAUUACCACUCCUUUGCUUUGUUUCUCCUCUAUUUAUAUAUCUCCUUCAACCUCUCUCGCCGGCGCUGUAAAUCCCCAACCCGAAACAAGAAGAAGAACACGAAGAAGAAGACAAUUGGUGAAUAGUAUUCUUUUAAAGAAUUUCGUUGAAGAAUUGCGGUUUGAUUAAUCAUUUGAUGCCGUGAAAAUCUCUAAUCAGAUUCAAAAGAUUUGAAUUGAGGUAAUACUUCAUCCCCCAAAUCGUUAUUUUAAUUCGUAGGUUUGACUUUGUGUGUUCGAUUGAUUUGCAUGUUUGUUUGAUGAAAAUUGUGUUAAAAGGAUGAGUCUCUCUGAGAUCUCGGUCGAUGUAUGUUUUCGUUGGAAAUUGAGCUCUUUCGAAUUUAUUCCGUUGCUUUUUGUUGUGUUUUCUUUUUAAUUAUUAUCUCUGAAACCGAUGGAGUUAGUUCGUGUCGGUGAAAGACUUAUUUUUCUAGCGGUGCUCUCGUUUUGGUUGUUUUAUGUUAUAUCAAGAUCCCUUGUCUCAUAAACGCUGAGGUUAAUUAACGAAUUAAAAGACUUCUCUUUUGAAUCUAAUUUCUGAUGAAAUCCAUUUAUCUUUGUUAUGCUGUCACAAUCUUAUUAUUUAUGCUUGUUUUUUUUUUAUUUUCUUGAACGGUUUUGUUAACUUGGUAGCCACUUGAAUUUCUCACUGUUUUUGUUUUCCUUUUCUCUACGUUAAUUGCAAUGAAACUGACACUCACGUGAAUAUUAUCUUGUUUUUUUUUGUUAUGAAGCAGGUUCAGGAUGGUUAGCUGCUACUUUAUUACUUUGGUCAAGGUUGAGAGUUAAUUCAGAGAAAGUAUUGGAGUCAGCUGCCAGAUUUGGUUUUGGAACAUUUAAUUUGAGAAAUGGAUAGGUGUGAUACCUCAGGAUUUGUAAGCGGAGGUGGAGAUGCUUAUAAGGUCUUCUAACUCUUAGUACUACUACUGCUGCUGUGGCUUUUUCUCCUCGAACCCCCGGAAGUUUGUGCUCUUUCUCUUGAACAGUUUUCAUCUUUUUAGUUGUGACCAUGCAUGCCAGAUUCCAAAACACUGCCUUUGCUGCUAAGUCUUCACCCAAUUCUUUUAAGAUCUUGGGCCGUUCCCUUCAAGUCCAAGAAUCAGAGGCCGCCGCUGAUACUACUCUGCGUCUUGAUUCCCUUUCCUCUCCACUUUCCAACUCAAUUGGUACUAAAAGAAAAUGGAAGGAUCAAGAAGCUGAUCCUUUACUCUCCUUGAGGCUCGGUCACUCUUCAAGCUCUUCUGAUAGCAAAGGGAGUUCGGCAACUGCUUCCAUGAGUUUAUCUUCUGCCAAAGAGAUCGAGGAAGCCUCCUCCAUGGAUCUUGACCUCGACUUUACCCUCCAUCUUGGCAAAGAGAAACCUGCCUCCAACCAUAAACCAGCUAAUCUGAAAAUGAAAGAGUUGCAGGUCCCCUCCCCAGAAUUUGAUCUGGAGUUGAGUCUUUCCUGUCAAUCUGAGAUCACUGCGGUCCAGCAGCAGGCGAACCAGUUUCCAACUCUUGGGGACAUGCUUCGUGCAACUAAUGAAGGAUCCACGUCGCGUGGCUGGAGACCAGGGUUUGCAUCAUCACCUGCAUUGCAAGCUUUAUCAAGCAAAGAAACAAGCUCCUUCUUAGCUCAUGCUCCUAAGAAGAUAAUCAUUCCUUCUGCUCCUCAUGUUCUGGACCUCUCAUCUAGCUCGGCAACAACAACAACAACAACAACAACAACAACACCAAUAAGUUCCGGUACAUGUACUUCCGUUUUAUCUCAGCAGCUGAAGCCACAGCAUAAGAGUUCUUCUAGUUCCAAGCUAUGUCAAGUUGAAGGAUGUCAAAAGGGGG